This is a long non-coding RNA of Cucurbita pepo subsp. pepo (vegetable marrow), 725 nucleotides long. RefSeq lists it as uncharacterized. NCBI's taxonomy places the organism in Eukaryota, Viridiplantae, Streptophyta, Magnoliopsida, Cucurbitales, Cucurbitaceae. The record is from RefSeq and is a predicted model, not a curated record.
UUCGAGUAGCAUGGGCGAAGCCCUGUAGCUUCAUGCACGAGUUUUCAAAUCUGGAAGCCCAAUUCGAAAAGAAUCUGGUUCGUAUUCCCAUCUUCUUCCCGGAUAUGAAGUUAGGUCAUAUACUAAAGCAUCAGUUUUUUUAAAGGAAUAAAAGAGUUAUGCUAGAGAAACUUGCACAUUGUGCUUGCAGAUGAGCAAGAUUAUGAAAAAGAUAGAUCGUAUUCUUGCAAUCUUCCCUCCCGUGAUGAAGUCAUCUCGGCCUUAUCCAAAGGAGAGAAAGUCCAAGGACGACAACGAUGGAAAUUGAUUUAAGAAGCGUAAAUAUGUGGAAAACACAAUAAGAAACUCUGCCUUAGACAUACGUUGUUGAGGUUGAGAUCGAGGAAAAUAGUUCGACAGUGGACAACAAAAUUAUAGAAGAUUCAGAUCGAGUAAGGUUACAUCCAAAGAAAUAUGCACAAGGUAAAAGACGUGUGAUAUCCUCAGAAUUGCUCUCAUUCGAAUGUAGUAUUGGUGCAUUCAUGUACCUCUCUUUUACUCGAGUGUCACACAUUACUUACUCAUCGCAUCUAAAAGUGAAGACUAUUUCCACAAACCGACACGAGUCCUUAUCUCACGAGUUCUUAUGAUUAACUCAAUUCUUUUAAGUCUUUGUUAGUCAUCUUAUCUUCUAGAUUACUCUCCUCAAUCGAUUCAUUCAUGUACUUAUACUUUACUCAAGUGUC